This 27-nucleotide small RNA is filed under the name Arabidopsis thaliana (thale cress). RNAcentral's name for it is "ATSL216330". Lineage: Eukaryota; Viridiplantae; Streptophyta; Magnoliopsida; Brassicales; Brassicaceae. The record is from RNAcentral.
GUUUUUUUGUGUGUUUUUUUUGCUUAU